This 83-nucleotide transfer RNA is filed under the name Deinococcus peraridilitoris DSM 19664. It matches the Rfam family "tRNA". From Rfam's summary of the family: Transfer RNA (tRNA) molecules are approximately 80 nucleotides in length. Lineage: Bacteria; Thermotogati; Deinococcota; Deinococci; Deinococcales; Deinococcaceae. The record is from Rfam by way of RNAcentral.
GCCGGGAUGGCGGAAUCGGUAGACGCAACCGACUUAAAAUCGGUCGGGCUUUGCCCGUACGGGUUCAAGUCCCGUUCUCGGCA